ACGGAGGAUGCAAGCGUUAUCCGGAAUUAUUGGGCUUAAAGGGUGCGUAGGCGGCUUUUUAAGUCAGUGGUGAAAUCCUGUCGCUUAACUAUAGAAUUGCCAUUGAUACUGAAGAGCUUGAGUACAAUUGAGGUAAGUGGAAUGUGUAGUGUAGCGGUGAAAUGCGUAGAUAUUACACAGAACACCGAUUGCGAAGGCAGCUUACUGGACUGUUACUGACGCUGAUGCACGAAAGCGUGGGGAGCGAACAG
This 251-nucleotide ribosomal RNA is filed under the name uncultured prokaryote. Its description in RNAcentral is "partial 16S rRNA". It matches the Rfam family "Bacterial small subunit ribosomal RNA", at positions 525 to 775 of the family's 1533-position model. The record is from RNAcentral.